Molecule: ribosomal RNA, 280 nt
Filed under: uncultured archaeon
Lineage: Archaea
Description: partial 16S ribosomal RNA
Rfam family: Archaeal small subunit ribosomal RNA
Source: RNAcentral
GAGACCCCUGCCUCUAGUUGCUACCAUUAUUCUCAGGAGUAGUGGAGCUAAUUAGAGGGACUGCCGUCGCUGAGACGGAGGAAGGAGGGGGCUACGGCAGGUCAGUAUGCCCCGAAACCCUCGGGCCACACGCGGGCUGCAAUGGUAAGGACAAUGAGUUUCGAUUCCGAAAGGAGGAGGCAAUCUCUAAACCUUACCACAGUUAUGAUUGAGGGCUGAAACUCGCCCUCAUGAAUAUGGAAUCCCUAGUAACCGCGUGUCACUAUCGCGCGGUGAAUAC